RNAcentral lists this ribosomal RNA (512 nucleotides) under uncultured bacterium. RNAcentral's name for it is "bacterial SSU rRNA". It matches the Rfam family "Bacterial small subunit ribosomal RNA", at positions 392 to 896 of the family's 1533-position model. The record is from RNAcentral.
CGACGCCGCGUGAGGGAAGAAGGCCUUCGGGUUGUAAACCUCUUUCAGCAGGGACGAAGCUACUCGGGUGAACAGCCCAGAGGGUGACGGUACCUCCAGAAGAAGCCCCGGCUAACUACGUGCCAGCAGCCGCGGUAAUACGUAGGGGGCAAGCGUUGUCCGGAUUUAUUGGGCGUAAAGAGCGUGUAGGCGGCUAGGUAGGUCCGUUGUGAAAACUCGAGGCUCAACCUCGAGCUGUCGAUGGAAACCAUCUGGCUAGAGCCCGGAAGAGGAGAGUGGAAUUCCUGGUGUAGCGGUGAAAUGCGCAGAUAUCAGGAAGAACACCCGUGGCGAAGGCGGCUCUCUGGUACGUGACCGACGCUGAGACGCGAAAGCGUGGGGAGCGAACAGGAUUAGAUACCCUGGUAGUCCACGCCGUAAACGAUGGGUGCUAGGUGUGGGCGGUGUCGACUCCGUCCGUGCCGAAGCUAACGCAUUAAGCACCCCGCCUGGGGAGUACGGCCGCAAGGCUA